This is a long non-coding RNA of Syngnathus typhle (broad-nosed pipefish), 1372 nucleotides long. RefSeq lists it as uncharacterized. The transcript is spliced from 3 exons. Lineage: Eukaryota; Metazoa; Chordata; Actinopteri; Syngnathiformes; Syngnathidae. The record is from RefSeq and is a predicted model, not a curated record.
CAUCGUUUGACGCGGCGUGAAUGAUGGUCGUCCAUAAAACUUAACAGACGCACCGUCGUCGCCGCGUUCGGAAUUGGAAACGCGGUGGAACCGCUCCGGGCAAAUGUCGACAAGGCACAUGGGCGGACAAUGUCUUUAAAGCGUCAUGGCCAUGUCCAUUGUCAUGCUGGAGAAGGACCAGAGUUUCCUGGAAACACUGGCGAAGCGACCCAACUGUUGUGAGAGCACAGCGGAGCUCGCCAUCUGACCCAAAUGAAACUCGAUCGUCAGUCUGUUCACGAGGCAGCGGGGAGGACCGAGCCGAGGCCCAUCAAUCAGCCGAGAGGACGCUCGGGUCUGCGCGUGUCCGAGACGUUGGGACGUUUGCCACGGUGGCUUUUGAGAGCUUGUCGUUCGACGUGUCCGUGUUAUGACUGCGCUUGUGACGUGAUGAAUCGCUCGCUAGCCGCUAAACAGCAACGAUGUUUCAAAAUGUCAUCCACCACACUCGAUCCGUUUAAACGGACCACUUCGAAACACCACGGCGAGCCCCGGCGACCGGAGAAGGUGAAAAAGCAAAUGUGGUUUAUUGGGAAAGGGUGGGGGGGGUUGGUGACAAAAGUGGACUGGAUUUCUCUGGGACCGUGGCCAAAGGAGGUCCGGUUUUUCCUCUGGCGCAAGGUCGUUUAAACUAAACCAACCAUUCCUUUUAAAUCCCGUAUGGCAUGGGCCGCGGCCUAAUGUCUGACAGAAGGAACGUUGCUUUGCAUGUAGCCUGAUUAUUAUCUACUACACAAAUUGCAAGCAGCUGGCUUGUUCACGGCUGACGGUCCCAAAGUUUACGUCUCGCAACGUGGAAUGUGGACAAUUACCACUUUCACUUUCUCACAAAGAACUCUAAUGCGGUUUACAUAAACGAGCGGCCCGCAAAUCAGACUCCAGGGGGCGUCGCCAGCCUCCGGCGCUCAGCUCAGGACGACAAAGGAUUUUGCUUUAGCGCUCUUGUUACAAGCGUAGCCAGAGGUGAACCCAUCCAUCAAGGAUGGCACCGCCGUUGUUUUACCGUGACUCUUCAGCUGCCUGCCUGUUCUCUCGGCCUCUGUUGUGAUUUAGAGGUCACCGAAAGAGGAAACCGCACAGAGGUUAGCCAGCAAACAGUUGGACUCCCCAAAAAUUUAGGGAGUUUUUGCUGCCCAUCAUAAUCUGAUUUGUCACAGUCUAAGUUAUGUUCCGCGUGAGUUAUGCUGCGUCUCGGCGAAACGAGACCAAAUGUGGUAGUGGAGAAGGGAGACUUCACUAUACGCUCUCUGCUUUCACUAUAGUCAGCCAUGUUGUUUUUCUACGUAUUAUUGCGACACAGGGGCUCCCACGCUUACCACGUUUAAAGUCAUAA